Molecule: ribosomal RNA, 274 nt
Filed under: Isochrysis galbana
Lineage: Eukaryota; Haptophyta; Isochrysidales; Isochrysidaceae
Description: partial Bacterial small subunit ribosomal RNA
Rfam family: Bacterial small subunit ribosomal RNA
Source: RNAcentral
GUUUGAUCAUUGCUCAGAUUGAACGCUGGCGGCAGGCUUAACACAUGCAAGUCGAGCGGUAACAGAUCUAGCUUGCUAGAUGCUGACGAGCGGCGGACGGGUGAGUAACGCGUAGAAAACUGCCCAGUAGUGGGGGAUAGCCCGGGGAAACUCGGAUUAAUACCGCAUACGCUCUACGGAGGAAAGGGGGCUUCGGCUCUCGCUAUUGGAUGUGUCUGCGUGGGAUUAGCUAGUUGGUGAGGUAAAGGCUCACCAAGGCGACGAUCUCUAGCUG